RNAcentral lists this small nuclear RNA (18 nucleotides) under Arabidopsis thaliana (thale cress). RNAcentral's name for it is "snRNA_10561". Lineage: Eukaryota; Viridiplantae; Streptophyta; Magnoliopsida; Brassicales; Brassicaceae. The record is from RNAcentral.
ACAGCCUCUGGUCGAUGG